This 31-nucleotide non-coding RNA is filed under the name Mus musculus (house mouse). Lineage: Eukaryota; Metazoa; Chordata; Mammalia; Rodentia; Muridae. The record is from RNAcentral.
UCCCACACAAGACUCUGCGUGUUUCUACCCC